CAUCGGUGCUAGCGGUGAUGAGAUACGACCAGUAUUAAUGAAGGGAGAUCAACGAGAAUGCUUCCCUUAAUAAAUAGUGCAAAAAAUAAACAAAAUAAUAAAGAAAAAAAUACCCGAUGCGAGUGGUGUGUCUGCCCUCCACCAGGCGGCGCGAUCCCCUUCCCGACUUUUUUCCUUCUCUUUCCCUCUCCUCCUCGCUCAUCCUCCUCCGCUUUCCUUUGUUCCCAGAGGCCGGCCCCAGUGUGGUUUCCGUUGUGCUUGGGAGCAGUCGCGUAGUCGCCAGUGUCCAGCUCCUUCUUUGUUCUUUGUUCCGAAAUCGGUCUUCUUCUUCUUCGGACCCCGAACGUCGCCUCACGCUUCCUGCCUUCGUCAAAGGGCCUCCUUUCGUUCGACACAUUGGGCGCAAGAGCGAGUUGCACGGCUGGCCCUCCGUUUCAAGUGACCUCCUUCAGCUGCGGAUGACCUGUGCUUAAUCAAGACCGCUUGAAUGGCAACUGAGAACUUGCUCCAAGCAAAAAGUGUUUUUAUGAAAUCGUGUUAGCUCGUGCGAAUUCACUGAAUAGGAACAAGUGUGUUUUCAUCGAGACAGCUCGUCCGGAAACUUGCAUUGUCGGCCUAAUAAAGUUUGACGUCAAGCCUAAUAAAACGUGAGGUUAAAACGGAGAAA
This is a long non-coding RNA of Ixodes scapularis (black-legged tick), 667 nucleotides long. RefSeq lists it as uncharacterized. The record is from RefSeq and is a predicted model, not a curated record. Lineage: Eukaryota; Metazoa; Arthropoda; Arachnida; Ixodida; Ixodidae. The transcript has 2 exons.